GCUGACAACCCACGCUACGCCACUGAGCGCAACACUUUCCACGUGGGCAUCGUCGCCCCAGCCUGCGCGCACACAGAGCCUCUUGUUCUAAGCGCUUCUCGCCCGCCUCUCUCGCUUUGGAGCAAGAAGCAGCUGGGAUAUUGUUGGCGCUAGAGGACUGGCUUUGUAGCCAGGGGCAGAAGUGCAGGAUUCGAAUUCACCACUACCCCAGGCUACGGAGUCGGGACUCCAUGUAUGUGCACAAUGGGGCUGGGACCGCUGGGUGGCUAUGUGAGCGUGUGUGUGUGUGUCCCCGCUUCUCUCCCCUAUGGGGGAAAUAAAAUUGACCUACCUCGCUUUUGCUCCUGCCGCUCUUUAUUAUGGGCAGCAGCGGAGUAGAAUUUGCACUAACGCCUAUUACUUUUCAUAUUGCAGGUGCAGAUAUGCAUCCCUUGGUGCUGUGUGUGAAUAUGAAAUAAGUAUUUUCAAAGUAAAAAUAAAAGAGCUCUACAGUAUCCUGUUUGAGGAGAGGCAACCAGAACUGUACUCAGUAUUCCAAAUGUGGGCGCACCAUAAGAUUUGUAUUGUCCAGCUGGCCAUGGCAGGAAACAGGAUGCCGAACCAGCCAAGCAAGAGGCAUUAUCAGAGUUCAAAGGCACAUUCUGGCUGGGAUGCAAAGCAAGGCUAAUGGGGGGAGUAGCUUGGAGGGCCUCAUGGUUUGAUGUUCUCCAUCCCAGGCAAGUACCUGUAUGAACUGAACAUGGGCAAGGGGGGAGGUAGAUUACUAUGUAUGUUACUGUUUAAUUUGUAAGAUGCCGAGAAUUAUUAUUUUUUAAAUUGAAGUGUGACUUACAUUCUUUAAACAAAAGUGUGAAAGUAAUAAUAGAUCAAGAUUUCCCAGACAACCUCUGGAUCGGUUGCAAUAAAUAAGCAAUUGGACUUCCACUGGAUGCAAAAGUCUGGUUCUCUGGCCCCAAAUUCAGCUGGUUAAUGAAGAGUGUAUAAGAGGGAGUGCAGAAGUGGGGUUUUGGAGAAAAGAACAGCAAGCUCAAAUCUGGUGCACAAAUCCCAUCCCUGGGCUCAGCUCAGUGUGUUAAAAGCCUCCCUGUUCCUUCUUUCUUUUUCCUUUUUUAUAAAUAUUUUUAUUGAGUUUCAGUUCUCGUAGUCGGGAAAUUUACAGAAUAAAGAAAAAAGAAAGAGAAUAAAGAGAAAGAAAGAUAAAAAAAACCAAUUUUCCAUAAUAUUUUUCCAAACCCAUUGGACUUCCCCAGAUCCUCCAAAUCCUGCAUUCUUUGUAAUAGAAAUAUCAGCAAUUUGUUACCUUGUUUCAUAUCUUAUUGUAUCUUUCAGUUAUCAUGUUUCUAAAUUCCAAAUAGUGUAUCCUAAUUCUUAUACUUUUUAAAAUAAACAUAAUAAAAUUA
Podarcis muralis (Common wall lizard) is the source of this 1400-nucleotide long non-coding RNA. RefSeq lists it as uncharacterized. The record is from RefSeq and is a predicted model, not a curated record. NCBI's taxonomy places the organism in Eukaryota, Metazoa, Chordata, Lepidosauria, Squamata, Lacertidae.